GCCAGGUGUGGUGGCACACACCUGUAAUUCCAGUGACUCAGGAGGCUGAGGCAGGAGGAUAGUGAGUUCAAAGCCAGCCUCAAAAACUUAGUGAGGCACUUACCAACUCAGCAAGACCCUGCCUGUA
RNAcentral lists this small RNA (127 nucleotides) under Marmota monax (woodchuck). The record is from RNAcentral. Lineage: Eukaryota; Metazoa; Chordata; Mammalia; Rodentia; Sciuridae.